This 61-nucleotide transfer RNA is filed under the name Crenobia alpina. Its description in RNAcentral is "tRNA-Ala". The record is from RNAcentral. Lineage: Eukaryota; Metazoa; Platyhelminthes; Tricladida; Planariidae.
AACUUUAUAGUUUAUUAGAAUAUUUGAGUUGCGCUUAGAUGGUAGUUUAUACUUGAAGUUU